RNAcentral lists this ribosomal RNA (253 nucleotides) under uncultured bacterium. RNAcentral describes it as "partial 16S ribosomal RNA". It matches the Rfam family "Bacterial small subunit ribosomal RNA", at positions 524 to 776 of the family's 1533-position model. The record is from RNAcentral.
UACGAAGGGGGCUAGCGUUGCUCGGAAUGACUGGGCGUAAAGGGCGCGUAGGCGGCUCAUACAGUCAGGCGUGAAAUUCCUGGGCUCAACCUGGGGACUGCGCUUGAGACGUGUGGGCUUGAGUGGGGAAGAGGGUCGUGGAAUUCCCAGUGUAGAGGUGAAAUUCGUAGAUAUUGGGAAGAGCACCGGUGGCGAAGGCGGCGACCUGGUCCUUGACUGACGCUGAGGCGCGAAAGCGUGGGGAGCAAACAGG